Molecule: ribosomal RNA, 305 nt
Filed under: uncultured bacterium
Lineage: Bacteria
Description: partial 16S ribosomal RNA
Rfam family: Bacterial small subunit ribosomal RNA
Source: RNAcentral
CUCCUACGGGGGGCAGCAGUGGGGAAUAUUGCACAAUGGGGGAAACCCUGAUGCAGCGACGCCGCGUGAGUGAAGAAGUAUUUCGGUACGUAAAGCUCUAUCAGCAGGGAAGAAAAAAAGUCCUUUGGACUUUGGACGGUACCUGACCAAGAAGCCCCGGCUAACUACGUGCCAGCAGCCGCGAUAAUACGUAGGGGGCAAGCGUUAUCCGGAUUUACUGGGUGUAAAGGGAGCGCAGACGGCAAGGCAAGUCUGAUGUGAAAGUCCGAGGCUCAACCUCGGGACUGCAUUGGAAACUGUCUGGC